GUGCUUCCCUCUAGAAGCUCAUACGCUUAACUUGGAAAAAUAAAGAAAAUUAAUAUGGUCCAUGCACAAGAAUGCCAUGUAAAUUCUUGAAGCAAUCAAAAAAUGU
Molecule: small nuclear RNA, 106 nt
Organism: Suncus etruscus (white-toothed pygmy shrew)
Lineage: Eukaryota; Metazoa; Chordata; Mammalia; Eulipotyphla; Soricidae
Source: RefSeq, a predicted model, not a curated record